This is a long non-coding RNA of Wasmannia auropunctata (little fire ant), 922 nucleotides long. RefSeq lists it as uncharacterized. The transcript is spliced from 2 exons. NCBI's taxonomy places the organism in Eukaryota, Metazoa, Arthropoda, Insecta, Hymenoptera, Formicidae. The record is from RefSeq and is a predicted model, not a curated record.
GACGCAACUUCAACAUGGCGGCCGUCCAGCAGACGAUCGUGAUCGAGACAGCGAGAGUGAGUGGUUCACGGUGGUUCGCGGCGGCACGACAUUGUUUCGCGAUCUUUCUGUAGAAUUUUCGCGUUUGAUAAUUGAACUUUCCAUUGCCGAAAAAAUGGUCGAGGAAGAGAAACUUAAAGGUCUCGCGAGACACUUCAACAGCCAAACCAACUAUGGUCGGGCGAACGUGACGAAGGCGACGUACGUCGGCUUAGGAUUGAUCGGCAUGUACUUCUACUUGAGGUCGAAGAGCAAAAAGACGGAGCAGAAGUAGCUUGUGGACGGGGACCGCAGUUGCAUUAUGUAAUAAACGAUACAUAUGCCGUAUCAUAUUCUUCGAAUAAAUAUAGUCGAAAGAUCCUUUUGUAAAUCUAUCUCAUUCUUGGUGCUCCAGUUGGUAUCUUUACUUAACUGUCUAAUGAUCACAGAUAACUAAUUGCUAAACGUAACAUGUGACAUCUAACAGUUGCACUUGGUUACGAAAAAGUUUCACAUUCGUUGCUUAUUUUACUUAAUUAUCUUAAUAGAAAAAUUAGAUAAAACACAAUGCUGAGAAAGAAAAGAUGCUUAAACUGAGUACAUUUUAAUUCUCAUCGCACAUUUGAAAUAUUUCAAUAUAUAUCACUCUGCUCUUGUAACACUUUGGAAGCUGUGAUCUAUUAAUUUCAUGCCUUGUUUAAUGGUAUUGAAGGGGAUACAGAUAAUUUAGAGGACUCAAGUAAUUGUUGGCAUUAUAAACGUAGAGGCUUUGUAAUCAUUGUUCUCCAUCAUUGGGAUUUCAAUCUUGUAUGGAUUAACAUCUUGUUACAAGGGAUUGAAUGAUUGUAACACAUGCAUUGAUUGUGCGAAUUUAUUUUAUGUACAAUAAAAUUGAUUUAAAACA